GAUGAAGAACGUAGCAAAAUGCGAUAAGUAAUGUGUAUUGCAGAAUUCAGUGAAUCAUCGAAUCUUUGAACGCACAUUGCGCCCGCCAGUAUUCUGGCGGGCAUGCCUGUUCGAGCGUCAUUUCAACCCUCAAGCACAGCUUGGUGUUGGGACUCGCGUUAAUUCGCGUUCCCCAAAUUGAUUGGCGGUCACGUCGAGCUUCCAUAGCGUAGUAGUAAAACCCUCGUUACUGGUAAUCGUCGCGGCCACGCCGUUAAACCCCAACUUCUGAAUGUUGACCUCGGAUCAGGUAGGAAUACCCGCUGAACUUAAGCAUAUCAAUAAGCGGAGGA
Molecule: unclassified non-coding RNA, 332 nt
Filed under: soil metagenome
Description: partial contains 5.8S ribosomal RNA, internal transcribed spacer 2, and large subunit ribosomal RNA
Rfam family: 5.8S ribosomal RNA (bases 1-120)
Source: RNAcentral